Molecule: RNase P RNA, 323 nt
Filed under: Deltaproteobacteria bacterium
Lineage: Bacteria; Pseudomonadati; Myxococcota; Myxococcia
Description: RNase P RNA component class A
Rfam family: Bacterial RNase P class A
About the family: Ribonuclease P (RNase P) is a ubiquitous endoribonuclease, found in archaea, bacteria and eukarya as well as chloroplasts and mitochondria. Its best characterised activity is the generation of mature 5'-ends of tRNAs by cleaving the 5'-leader elements of precursor-tRNAs.
Source: RNAcentral
AAAGCCCGCCGGGCGAUCGCUGGCAGACGCGUGCUGCGAGAGGAACGUCCGGACUCCACAGAGCGGCGUAGCAGGUAACGCCUGCCCACCGUGAGGUGAGGAUCAGAGCAACAGAGACGAGUCGCCGCGCGGCGCGAGCGGCGCGGCGGGUGAAACGGGCAAUCUCUACGCGGAGCAACACCAAGUAGGCAGCCGGGGAUCCUGCUCGGGGAGGCUGCGGGUCGGUGGCUGGAGCCGGCGCGCGAGCGCCGGCCUAGAGGAAUGAUCGCCACGGCGCCAGCGAUGGCGCCGCACAGAAUCCGGCGUACAGGCGGGCUUUGCAC